UCAAGAAACUUCCACAAUGGGCGAAAGCCUGAUGGAGCGACGUCGCGUGAUGGACGAAGUGCUUCGGCACGUAAACAUCUUUUAUGUGGGAUGAAAUUAUUGACAGUACCACAUGAAUAAGGGGCUCCUAACUCUGUGCCAGCAGGAGCGGUAAUACAGAGGCCCCAAGCGUUAUCCGGAAUCACUGGGCGUAAAGGGUGUCGAGGCGGUUGUAUUAGUCGUUCGUAAAAUCUACGAGCUUAACUUGUAGGCGGCGAACGAAACGGUACGACUUGAGGUUUGGAGAGGUGCGUGGAACUCACGGUGUAGGGGUGAAAUCCGUUGAUAUCGUGGGGAACACCAAAGGCGAAGGCAGCGCACUGGCCAAAAUCUGACGCUCACACACGAAAGCUAGGGUAGCGAAGAGGAUUAGAUACCCCCGUAGUCCCUGAGCGGGCUGGCAAGGC
Molecule: ribosomal RNA, 446 nt
Filed under: uncultured bacterium
Lineage: Bacteria
Description: bacterial SSU rRNA
Rfam family: Bacterial small subunit ribosomal RNA
Source: RNAcentral